GGAAAAGAAACUAACUAGGAUUCCCUUAGUAACGGCGAGUGAACCGGGAUGAGCUCAAAUUUAAAAUCUGGCGUCUUUCAGGCGUCCGAGUUGUAAUCUAUAGAGGCGUUUUCCGCGCCGGACCGCGUCCAAGUCUCUUGGAAUAGAGUAUCAAAGAGGGUGACAAUCCCGUACUUGACGCGACAACCGGUGCUCUGUGAUACGUUCUCAAUGAGUCGAGUUGUUUGGGAAUGCAGCUCUAAAUGGGUGGUAAAUUCCAUCUAAGGCUAAAUAUUGGCGAGAGACCGAUAGCGAACAAGUACCGUGAGGGAAAGAUGAAAAGCACUUUGGAAAGAGAGUUAAACAGCACGUGAAAUUGUUAAAAGGGAAACGAUUGAAGUCAGUCGUGUGAAAGGUAUUCAGCCGUCUCUGGCGGUGUAUUUGCCUUUCACGGGUCAACAUCAGUUUGAUCCGGUAGAAAAAGGCAGGAGGAAGGUGGCACCCUCGGGUGUGUUAUAGCCUCUUGUCAUAUGUGCCGGACCAGACUGAGGAACGCAGCUUGCCGCAAGGCCGGG
RNAcentral lists this ribosomal RNA (554 nucleotides) under Vishniacozyma victoriae. RNAcentral's name for it is "partial large subunit ribosomal RNA". It matches the Rfam family "Eukaryotic large subunit ribosomal RNA", at positions 55 to 615 of the family's 3401-position model. Lineage: Eukaryota; Fungi; Basidiomycota; Tremellomycetes; Tremellales; Bulleribasidiaceae. The record is from RNAcentral.